GAUGAACGCUCGCUACAGGCUUAACACAUGCAAGUCGAGGGGCAGCAUGGUCUUAGCUUGCUAAGGCCGAUGGCGACCGGCGCACGGGUGAGUAACACGUAUCCAACCUGCCGUCUACUCUUGGACAGCCUUCUGAAAGGAAGAUUAAUACAAGAUGGCAUCAUGAGUCCGCAUGUUCACAUGAUUAAAGGUAUUCCGGUAGACGAUGGGGAUGCGUUCCAUUAGAUAGUAGGCGGGGUAACGGCCCACCUAGUCUUCGAUGGAUAGGGGUUCUGAGAGGAAGGUCCCCCACAUUGGAACUGAGACACGGUCCAAACUCCUACGGGAGGCAGCAGUGAGGAAGAUUGGUCAAGGGGCGCAGGCCUGAACCAGCCAAGUAGCGUGAAGGAUGACUGCCCUAUGGGUUGUAAACUUCUUUUAUAAAGGAAUAAAGUCGGGUAUGUAUACCCGUUUGCAUGUACUUUAUGAAUAAGGAUCGGCUAACUCCGUG
Molecule: ribosomal RNA, 490 nt
Filed under: uncultured bacterium
Lineage: Bacteria
Description: partial 16S ribosomal RNA
Rfam family: Bacterial small subunit ribosomal RNA
Source: RNAcentral